RNAcentral lists this ribosomal RNA (382 nucleotides) under Pseudophoraspis sp. MNHN BL6. RNAcentral describes it as "partial 16S ribosomal RNA". The record is from RNAcentral. Lineage: Eukaryota; Metazoa; Arthropoda; Insecta; Blattodea; Blaberidae.
CUCUUCCUGGUUAAAUAGGAGGUAUAACCUGCCCAAUGAAAAAUUUUUAAUGGCCGCGGUAUUUUGACCGUGCAAAGGUAGCAUAAUCAUUAGUCUUUUAAUUGGAGGCUGGAAUGAAUGGUUGAACGAGAUAAUAACUAUCUUUAUUUUAUUAAUUUUGAAUUUAAUUUUUUAGUCAAAAAGCUUAAAUUUCUUUUUGGGACGAGAAGACCCUAUAGAAUUUUAUAUUUAAAGUCUGUUAUUUAUGUUUUAUAUUUUUAUAACAGUUUUAAUUAUUUUGUUGGGGUGAUUAAAAGAUAAUUGUAACUCUUUUUUUAUUAAUUAUUUAUUUAUUUAUAUAUAUAUAUUGAUCCACAUUUGGUGAAUAUAAGACUAAAUUACC